Molecule: long non-coding RNA, 2788 nt
Organism: Ursus thibetanus thibetanus
Lineage: Eukaryota; Metazoa; Chordata; Mammalia; Carnivora; Ursidae
Source: Ensembl
AUGAUGGCAGUUUCUUCUGCAUCCAGACUGGUGAUGGUGUUCGACUCUCAACCUGGCCAGUUGUUAACCAUUUUAACUCCCAUCUUAUGGACGAUGAAUCAGAAGCCCAAGCAGGUGGAGUGCUUUGCUCAGUGUCAGUCAGCAGGUGAGUGGUGGAGCCGGCCUUCAAGCCCCGGGAAGUGUGGCAUCAGCGUCUGCAGAAAACUGCCCCCACAUAAUCUGCUGUUAGGUGGAGAGGCAGGAAAUGGCAUUAACCAUGUCAAUGACCACAUAACUCACUUUGUCCUAAAUAUGGAAUUCGCACUCUACACAGUAGGGGCCUCAGAGGCCUGGAGCUGGGAGAGAGUGUUGUGUGUGGCUAUUUGUAGAAGUGACAGGACUUGAAGGAUCCAAAACUCUAACUCCAACUGCAUGGACAAAGGACACUCAUUGGUGGCAUACCUGAUGAACGCACGGGUUCAUCUGACGAUGACAUCAACGAUAUCUGUCCUUCGUUCUCCUGGAUUUCCUUUCUUCUGUUGGCUUAAUUCUCAGCAAAGUCCUCUUCCCGUGGGCCAGAUUGCCCCUAACAGCUUCAGCAGCACAUUCUGCCAGCUUCACACCACCAGUAAGGAGCUCCUCCACCUCCAUGUUUCUAGAAGCACUUCCAGGACCUGAUGGUCAUGGAUUCGAAUUUUCACAGCUUCAGUGAUGUAUCUGCCUCUUGAGCCAGUUACUGCGUGUGGGCCUGGGUUAUUUAUGCCUCCCUUGCCCAAGGGCGCCCCUCCCAAAAUUGUAUGGAUUAAAAGUGUAGGAGAGGUUUCCUAAAGGAACAUCUAAGUGCAGUUGCCAGAGGAAAGGGAGUUGAUGGACUCUGGGAGAAAAGGAAGCAAAACAUCAGAUCUCUUGCCCCUAUCUUACCAGGUGAUGUGUUGACUGACCAAGUCAAGGACCCAGACAACUAAAAUAAAGGAAGCACGUGAAGGUGCCUGAACCAUGUGCGCAGUCAAAGAAGGAGGGCUUGAAGGAGGAGUUGGGAUUAGCAUUGGAUUUUAAGGACACAUUUGAGAGGUAAGGCUGGGGGCAUAAAGAGAAGGCAGAAGUCUUCUUCAGUAAAUGGAAAGGCAGUGUUAAAGCCAUAGAAAGCAAAAUAGAAUGUAUUCUGAGAAGGGCCAAUAGUUCAAUAUGACAGGAAGAAAAUGAGAUAGAGAAGGUAAAGCUGAGAAGUUUGAUUUGGGCCACAUUAUGGAGAGACCUUGACUGCCUUCCUAAGAAAUAUUUAAAAUUUAUUUAUUUAUUUAUUUAUUUAUUUAUUUAUUUAUUUAUUUAGAUUUUAUUUAUUUGAGAGAGAGCAUGAGCAGGGAGAAGGGGUAGAGGGAGAGGGAGAAGCAGACCCCCUGCUGAUCAGGGAGCCCGAUGCGGGGCUCCAUCCAUCCUGUGACCCUGGGAUUAUGACCUGAGCCAUCCAGGCACCCCCUUAAAUUUUAUUAUGGAGGUGGUGGAUAGCCAGUGCACACGUUACUGCAGAGAAGUCAAGUAAACCCAAUGCUGAGUUAAGAAGAUUAAUCUAGAGAAGACGGCUAGCACAUCAGGGGUUCACCAACCCUUUCCUAAUUUCAUGAUUGGCAGUAUGCAUGCAUCUGAGAUUUGUUAGAGGAAAUCCCACAAUGGGGCAAGUGUAUUGAUAAAUCCUGUUCAUCAAACUCAGGUGGCCACGUGGCACUGCUGAACAAGCCUAUUACCUUUCUUUACUAACUUUCCUGAAUAGGUAUUUUAUACAUUUUCUGUUUUGUCUAAGCACUUUCUCCUGCCUUUCUAGUCUUUUCCUCAACUCCCACUAUUCCGCAUCUGUCCAGGCUCACUUCCAUUUCCACCUGGACUAUUGAAGUGGCAUGUUCCAAGGCGAGUCCAUCCUCAUUUUGCCUUUGCCUUGUCUUCUGGCUCUCGUCCAAAUACAGGGUACCAAGAGUAACAUGGUAGAGGCAGUCUUUCAAAAAUAACUUCAUGAAGUCCCAGAGGGAAGGAAAGAAACAAAAGGUGGAUAGAAGGAUACUGAGCAUGCUUUUAGGCCGGAGAGAUGAAGCCAGUAGAGAGAAUUAUGAUGCAAAGAGCACAGGGGGCUAAGUGUUGCAGCAAGGGCACGGGGCAGAGAAGCAUCAUGGGACUGGGACAGAGACACCUGCUACAGUCAAGUGGGUGAAAAGGAGCAAAGACUUCCUGAGUGUCUUAGCUGGCAAAAUGGUAAACCUGCCCGCACCGCGGCUUCCUACCCUGAUCCCAGAUCUGGGGAUGCUGCAGAGGUGAGUAGGUACUGGAGAAAUGUCUUCAGUAUGUUGGUUAAUCACCUUUCAGGCCUUCCUAUGCUUAUUGGGAUUUAACUGUGACCCACUGAACGGUAAGUUUUGUGGAACAUACAUUGUACUGGGAACUGAGAAGCUCACGUCACACUGUAAGUCUCUGCUGGGAGAUAUAAGAGUACAGAGUAACACGCACGGGGAAGAGGUUGCGGAAUCUUUUAAAUGUGUACUCUUUUUUUCCUUGGUGGUUUGUUGUUUAUGCCUGAGCUGCAGUGAGGCCCCAAACCCACAGAUCCAGCUCAGCCUUGGCCACACCAAUGGUGCUGCCAUUUAGCCUAUAUUAAGGAGCAUCCAACGUUAGAACCAGGCAGAGGGGCUGAGUCCAGCUACACUGCUCAUACGAAGACAGUGGGGUGGUGUUUUAGCACAUGUUUCUUGGAAACUUAGCAAACAGACAAAAAUUAAAUGUAGAAAAUUAGGGUAACAUGACUAAUAUGCUCAGGAUAAUAGAC